UGGGGAAUUUUGCACAAUGGGGGAAACCCUGAUGCAGCGACGCCGCGUGAUUUAGAAGGCCUUCGGGUUGUAAAAAUCUUUUUUAUGGGAUGAAAAUGACAGUACCAUACGAAUAAGGACCGGCUAAUUACGUGCCAGCAGCGGCGGUAAUACGUAAGGUCCGAGCGUUGUCCGGAAUCAUUGGGCGUAAAGGGUACGUAGGCGGAUAAGCAAGUUAGAAGUGAAAUCCUAUAGCUCAACUAUAGUAAGCUUUUAAAACUGCUCAUCUUGAGGUAUGGAAGGGAAAGUUGAAUUCCUAGUGUAGCGGUGAAAUGCGCAGAUAUUAGGAGGAAUACCGGUGGCGAAGGCGACUUUCUGGCCAUAUACUGACGCUGAGGUACGAAAGCGUGGGUAGCAAACAGG
Molecule: ribosomal RNA, 402 nt
Filed under: Verrucomicrobiota bacterium
Lineage: Bacteria; Pseudomonadati; Verrucomicrobiota
Description: Verrucomicrobia bacterium partial 16S ribosomal RNA
Rfam family: Bacterial small subunit ribosomal RNA
Source: RNAcentral